This 549-nucleotide ribosomal RNA is filed under the name uncultured Glomus. RNAcentral's name for it is "SSU rRNA". It matches the Rfam family "Eukaryotic small subunit ribosomal RNA", at positions 548 to 1098 of the family's 1831-position model. The record is from RNAcentral. Lineage: Eukaryota; Fungi; Glomeromycota; Glomeromycetes; Glomerales; Glomeraceae.
UUGGAGGGCAAGUCUGGUGCCAGCAGCCGCGGUAAUUCCAGCUCCAAUAGCGUAUAUUAAAGUUGUUGCAGUUAAAAAGCUCGUAGUUGAAUUUCGGGAUCAAUAUAUCGGUCGUGCCUUGGUACGUACUGGUAUCAUUGGUUUCCCCUUUCUGACGAACCAUGAUGUCAUUAAUUUGGUGUUAUGGGAAGUUAGGACUGUUACUUUGAAAAAAUUAGAGUGUUUAAAGCAGGCUUUAGCUUGAAUACAUUAGCAUGGAAUAAUGAAAUAGGACGUUCGAACCUAUUUUGUUGGUUUCUAGGAUCAACGUAAUGAUUAAUAGGGAUAGUUGGGGGCAUUAGUAUUCAAUUGUCAGAGGUGAAAUUCUUGGAUUUAUUGAAGACUAACUACUGCGAAAGCAUUUGCCAAGGAUGUUUUCAUUAAUCAAGAACGAAAGUUAGGGGAUCGAAGACGAUCAGAUACCGUCGUAGUCUUAACCGUAAACUAUGCCGACUAGGGAUCGGAUGAUGUUAAUUUUUUAAUGACUCAUUCGGCCGCCUUACGGGAAAC